GAUGAACGCUGGCGGCGUGCCUAAUACAUGCAAGUCGAGCGAACAGACGAGGAGCUUGCGCCUCUGACGUUAGCGGCGGACGGGUGAGUAACACGUGGAUAACCUACCUAUAAUACUGGGAGAACUUCGGGAAACCGGAGCUAAUACCGCAUAAUAUAUUGAACCGCAUGGUUCAAUAGUGAAAGACGGUUUUGCUGUCACUUAUAGAUGGAUCCGCGCCGCAUUAGCUAGUUGGUAAGGGAACGGCUCACCAAGGCGACGAUGCGUAGCCGACCUGAGAGGAAGGUGAGCCACAAUGGAACUGAGACACGGACCAGACUCCUACGGGAGGCAGCAGUGGGGAAUAUUGGACAAUGGGCGCAAGCCGGAUCCAGCCAUACCGCGUGGGUGAAGAAGGCCUUCGGGUUGUAAAGCCCUUUUGUUGGGAAAGAAAAGCAGCAGGUUAAUACCCCGCUGUUCUGACGGUACCCAAAGAAUAAGCACCGGCUAACUUCGUG
This 497-nucleotide ribosomal RNA is filed under the name uncultured bacterium. Its description in RNAcentral is "partial 16S ribosomal RNA". It matches the Rfam family "Bacterial small subunit ribosomal RNA", at positions 28 to 507 of the family's 1533-position model. The record is from RNAcentral.